This is a ribosomal RNA of Pteropus vampyrus (large flying fox), 119 nucleotides long. Lineage: Eukaryota; Metazoa; Chordata; Mammalia; Chiroptera; Pteropodidae. The record is from Ensembl.
GUCUAUGGCCAUGCUACCCUGAACAAGCUCGAUCCCAUCCAAUCUUGGAAGCUAAACAGGGUUGGUCCUGGUUAGUACUUGGAUAGUAGACCACCUAGGAAGACUAGGUGCUAUAGGCA